RNAcentral lists this long non-coding RNA (539 nucleotides) under Rattus norvegicus (Norway rat). RNAcentral's name for it is "long non-coding RNA NONRATT002581". The record is from RNAcentral. Lineage: Eukaryota; Metazoa; Chordata; Mammalia; Rodentia; Muridae.
GAGCUGUCCCUUACAUAUGCUGCUGACAGUACUGUGUCAGGUGACUCAGGACCAGCUAGUCACAUUGGAUUGGAUUAUGUAGUUGAUUUACCUCUUUACAAGGAGAGUACAAGGUACAAACCCCAUGCUGACCCAGAGCCCACUCCUGGUUCCUGCACUUGUUAUUCCCUUGAUUCCAUUCAAAUGACUAACCUGACUCUUUUGAUAUCCUUUAGUGAAGAAGAAAUAUUUUAUACUGCUUCUUCAGAUGAGGAAUCUUCUUUUAUUCCUGACAUAGAAGAAGGUCUGCCUGCUACUCAGGCACCUGUUGAUAAUUUUGAUGCUUCUGCGUCAGCUGAACCAAUAAACCACAGCAUGAACCCUCUCAGGGUGGGUGGAUAUCUUCGGGCACCAGCGAUAGCACACAUCCCCUUUUUGCCUUUUAUAUGGCUUGUAUCCUCACUUUUCUCUGUCAUAACAUGGAUGAAAAUCCAAAUUCAACAUGCAUGGCAUGAAGAAAAUGGCCAAGGAGCUCCCACUAACAAAAAAGUUGGAUCAGG